This 71-nucleotide transfer RNA is filed under the name Schindleria praematura (Schindler's fish). Its description in RNAcentral is "tRNA-Asp". It matches the Rfam family "tRNA". From Rfam's summary of the family: Transfer RNA (tRNA) molecules are approximately 80 nucleotides in length. Lineage: Eukaryota; Metazoa; Chordata; Actinopteri; Gobiiformes; Schindleriidae. The record is from RNAcentral.
AAGGUGCUAGUGUAAAGUGAAAACACUGCCUUGUCAAGGCAGAGCUGUGGGUUAAACCCCCGCGCACCUUG